Molecule: ribosomal RNA, 468 nt
Filed under: uncultured bacterium
Lineage: Bacteria
Description: partial 16S ribosomal RNA
Rfam family: Bacterial small subunit ribosomal RNA
Source: RNAcentral
GACGAACGCUGGCGGCAUGCUUAACACAUGCAAGUCGAACGGAGAGGCCCUGCUUUUGUGGGGUGCUCGAGUGGCGAACGGGUGAGUAACACGUGAGUAACCUGCCCUUGACUUUGGGAUAACUUCAGGAAACUGGGGCUAAUACCGGAUAGGAGCUCCUGCUGCAUGGUGGGGGUUGGAAAGUUUCGGCGGUUGGGGAUGGACUCGCGGCUUAUCAGCUUGUUGGUGGGGUAGUGGCUUACCAAGGCUUUGACGGGUAGCCGGCCUGAGAGGGUGACCGGCCACAUUGGGACUGAGAUACGGCCCAGACUCCUACGGGAGGCAGCAGUGGGGAAUAUUGCACAAUGGGCGGAAGCCUGAUGCAGCAACGCCGCGUGCGGGAUGACGGCCUUCGGGUUGUAAACCGCUUUCGCCUGUGACGAAGCGUGAGUGACGGUAAUGGGUAAAGAAGCACCGGCUAACUACGUG